CUACGGGAGGCACCAGUUAGGAAUAAUCUACAAUGCGCGCAAGCGUGAUAGUUUGAGCCAGAGUGCUUCUCAAUGAGGAGCUUUUGCCAAAUGUAAAAAGUUUGGCGAAUAAGGACUGGGUAAGACUAGUGCCAGCCGACGCGGUAAUACUAGCGGUCCAAGUCGCAGCCACAAUUAUUGGGUCUAAAACAUCCGUAGCUUGCUUAGGAAGUUCCCUGUGAAAUCUCAUGUCUUAAGCAUGAGGCUGGCGGGGAGUACUGCUGAGCUAGAGACUGGAAGACGGAAGAAGUACGUUCGAAGUAGUGGUAAAAUACUUUAAUCUCGGACGGACUAACAACAGCGAAGGCAUCUUCCGAGGACAGUUCUGACAGUAAGGGAUGAAAGCCAGGGGCGCAAAACGGAUUAGAUACCCCAGUAGUC
RNAcentral lists this ribosomal RNA (420 nucleotides) under uncultured archaeon. Its description in RNAcentral is "partial 16S ribosomal RNA". It matches the Rfam family "Archaeal small subunit ribosomal RNA", at positions 323 to 746 of the family's 1478-position model. The record is from RNAcentral.